CACACGGUAAACGAUGGAUACUCGCUGUUGGCGAUACACAGUCAGCGGCCAAGCGAAAGCAUUAAGUAUCCCACCUGGGGAGUACGCCGGCAACGGUGAAACUCAAAGGAAUUGACGGGGGCCCGCACAAGCGGAGGAACAUGUGGUUUAAUUCGAUGAUACGCGAGGAACCUUACCCGGGCUUAAAUUGCAGACGAAUUAUCUGGAAACAGGUAAGCCGCAAGGCGUCUGUGAAGGUGC
This 240-nucleotide ribosomal RNA is filed under the name uncultured bacterium. RNAcentral describes it as "partial 16S ribosomal RNA". It matches the Rfam family "Bacterial small subunit ribosomal RNA", at positions 796 to 1041 of the family's 1533-position model. The record is from RNAcentral. RNAcentral also lists the same sequence under 1 other name.